CACGAACCGUCCAAACGUUAUUCGGAAUUACUGGGCUUAAAGAGUCCGUAGGCGGCUUUGUAGGUGAGGUGUGAAAUCCCUCGGCUCAACCGAGGAAUUGCGCUUCAAACCGCAGAGCUUGAGGAAGAUAGAGGAAAGCGGAACUGAUGGUGGAGCGGUGAAAUGCGUUGAUAUCAUCAGGAACACCGGUGGCGAAAGCGGCUUUCUGGGUCUUUACUGACGCUGAGGGACGAAAGCUAGGGGAGCAAACGGG
This 253-nucleotide ribosomal RNA is filed under the name uncultured bacterium. RNAcentral describes it as "partial 16S ribosomal RNA". It matches the Rfam family "Bacterial small subunit ribosomal RNA", at positions 524 to 776 of the family's 1533-position model. The record is from RNAcentral.